GAUGGCCACUCCUUUAAGGAGGUUGCACAGAUGAUAGGGGUGAAGGUUUGAGGGCGUUUUCUUUUGCAGCAUGUUGGAUGUUUUAAUAUGUACAGGUGUACUGUAGCUCUUAGGAAGAGGUUGUGGAUACUGGUCUGGCUUUAUCUUGUAGAGGGGAGAGCCGAGGCCAUGACUAGUGUGAGAACAAAAAAGAUAGAAUAAAGGUCGUGAGGAAUGAUCUAGCUAGCCUUCUCUUUGCCCAAUGGUUGUGUUCUCCCUUUUAAAUUCCUUCCCCUUUUCCGCCAGUUACCUUUGCAUGUUUCUUCUGGUUGAUAAUGCUGCACAGGGAAAUUCUCGCAGUUUAUCGUGGACCCAAAACACAUGCUGCAAAUGCGGAGAUGAUACGAUGAAUUUUAUGGUUAUGGUAAGGGAAAAAAAUUAUUAAAUGCACCUGAGUAAUAAAUUUAGUGCUCUUUGCAAUUACAUAAAUGUGAGCCUUCCAUAAAUUGUGAAAGUGGGUUCCACAUGCUUUAGGUGUAUUUUAUAAUUUGGCUAUCAUGAGAAGGAUCACAAUCUCCCUCUUCGCAUAAAAUAUCCCUAGAUAUUACUGCUCCAACAAGAUUGAAAUCGGAAACGUCCUAAUAGACUAAUACUUGCUAGGAUGAUCCUCUGGGGAAAUGCCAUAAAUAUUGAUAAAAAUAACACAAAAGCAUGCUAGUUUAGGAAUUGUGUGCCAUCAAAACGUUGUUUCAGCUUGAAUUGACCAUAAUGAUUGAACAACUAUGCAUGUUUUUUACAUUUAAAACAAUAAAAGAAAAAUACUGACUUAUCAUCAUGAUAGCAAAUCCAAGAACACAACAAAAUUCUUGUUCAUGUGUAUUUAUAUUAGGAAAGGACUUGAAGAACCUUGCUACUCUAUGAUCAAAUUAUGUUUAAAUUGGAAUUAUCAGUGGUACAGAAAUCUUCUAGGACACUGAAGUAUUGAGUUUCUGCUGUGAAGAAUGGCAUUUCUAUAUGCAAACUGCAAUUUUGCUUGCCAUGGAUGAGCUUUUAUUUUUGCCUCUGCAGAACAUACAAUGGAAGUUUCGUGUAGUCAGAAUUUUUAGAAUUCUGGAAUGAGAACAUCAAUUAUAAACAAUGGCAAUAUUCCAACAGUUAUCACAUUUUUUUGUAAGAACAAACAACGACCAGCCAAUCUAAUAUGAACUUAACCACUUAACUAGAAGAGCAUUAUUUACUUUUCAAAAGAAAAUUUCCUAAUCGAGAACAAAAAAAUGUAAUCUAGAUUAGAAAAACGCAAAAGAGAAAACUGUUUAAGG
RNAcentral lists this unclassified non-coding RNA (1298 nucleotides) under Hevea brasiliensis (rubber tree). The record is from RNAcentral. Lineage: Eukaryota; Viridiplantae; Streptophyta; Magnoliopsida; Malpighiales; Euphorbiaceae.